This is a small nucleolar RNA of Chelonia mydas (Green sea turtle), 74 nucleotides long. RefSeq annotates it as small nucleolar RNA SNORD59. Lineage: Eukaryota; Metazoa; Chordata; Testudines; Cheloniidae. The transcript has a single exon. The record is from RefSeq and is a predicted model, not a curated record.
CCUUCACUGAUGAGUAACCUGGUGACUUUCGUUCUUCUGAGUUUGCUGAAGCCACUUCCAAUCUUCUGAGAAGG